This is a non-coding RNA of Phyllostomus hastatus (greater spear-nosed bat), 451 nucleotides long. The record is from the annotation of a RefSeq genome assembly. NCBI's taxonomy places the organism in Eukaryota, Metazoa, Chordata, Mammalia, Chiroptera, Phyllostomidae.
GGGAACUGGGCCUGUGGCAGUGACUCCUGUGCCCACCAUGGACAUGCUGUGGUCUACUCUCCUGCUGCUGACCUUCCCUUCCUGGGCUCUAUCUCAGGUCACCCUGCAGGAGUCUGGCCCUGGGGUGGUGAGACCCUCUGAGACCCUCACACUGACCUGUUCCUUCUCUGGGUUCUCACUGAGCACUAGUGGUAUGGGUGUUGGCUGGAUCCGUCAGCCCCCUGGGAAGGCACUGGAGUGGCUCACAAAUGUUUGGUGGGAUGAUGAUAAGUAUUACAACCCAUCUCUGAGGAGCAGGCUCACCAUCUCCAAGGACACCUCCAAAAACCAGGUGGUUCUCACAAUGACCAGCAUGGGCCCUGAAGACACAGCCACAUAUUACUGUGCACGGAGGGCACAGAGACACAUCCCAGGGGCCUCCUGUACAAGAACCUGGGUGGGUGUCAGCUGA